GUCCACGCCCUAAACGAUGUCAACUAGUUGUUGGGGAAGCAAUUCCUUGGUAACGCAGCUAACGCGUGAAGUUGACCGCCUGGGGAGUACGGUCGCAAGAUUAAAACUCAAAGGAAUUGACGGGACCCGCACAAGCGGUGGAUGAUGUGGUUUAAUUCGAUGCAACGCGAAAAACCUUACCUACCCUUGACAUGUCUGGAAUCCUGCUGAAAGGUGGGAGUGCCCGAAAGGGAAUCAGAACACAGGUGCUGCAUGGCUGUCGU
This 263-nucleotide ribosomal RNA is filed under the name uncultured bacterium. Its description in RNAcentral is "partial 16S ribosomal RNA". It matches the Rfam family "Bacterial small subunit ribosomal RNA", at positions 793 to 1055 of the family's 1533-position model. The record is from RNAcentral.